GGGUAGCCGGCCUGAGAGGGCGACCGGCCACACUGGGACCGAGACACGGCCCAGACUCCUACGGGAGGCAGCAGUGGGGAAUAUUGCACAAUGGGGGAAACCCUGAUGCAGCGACGCAGCGUGCGGGAUGACGGCCUUCGGGUUGUAAACCGCUUUCAGCAGGGAAGAAGCGCAAGUGACGGUACCUGCAGAAGAAGUACCGGCUAACUACGUGCCAGCAGCCGCGGUAAUACGUAGGGUACGAGCGUUGUCCGGAAUUAUUGGGCAUAAAGAGCUCGUAGGUGGUUGGUCACGUCUGCUGUGGAAACGCAACGCUUAACGUUGCGCGGGCAGUGGGUACGGGCUGACUAGAGUGCAGUAGGGGAGUCUGGAAUUCCUGGUGUAGCGGUGAAAUGCGCAGAUAUCAGGAGGAACACCGGUGGCGAAGGCGGGACUCUGGGCUGUAACUGACACUGAGGAGCGAAAGCAUGGGGAGCGAACAGGAUUAGAUACCCUGGUAGUCCAUGCCGUAAACGUUGGGCACUAGGUGUGGGGGGCAUUCCACGUUCUCCGCGUCGUAGCUAACGCAUUAAGUGCCCCGCCUGGGGAGUACGGCCGCAAGGCUAAAACUCAAAGGAAUUGACGGGGGCCCGCACAAGCGGCGGAGCAUGCGGAUCAAUUCGAUGCAACGCGAAGAACCUUACCAAGGCUUGACAUACACCAGACCGUUCUGGAAACAGUUCCUCCCCUUUGGGGUUGGUGUACAGGUGGUGCAUGGUUGU
Molecule: ribosomal RNA, 761 nt
Filed under: uncultured Actinomycetes bacterium
Lineage: Bacteria; Bacillati; Actinomycetota; Actinomycetes
Description: bacterial SSU rRNA
Rfam family: Bacterial small subunit ribosomal RNA
Source: RNAcentral